RNAcentral lists this ribosomal RNA (254 nucleotides) under uncultured bacterium. RNAcentral describes it as "partial 16S ribosomal RNA". It matches the Rfam family "Bacterial small subunit ribosomal RNA", at positions 524 to 776 of the family's 1533-position model. The record is from RNAcentral.
GACGUAGGGCGCGAGCGUUUGUCCGGAUUUAUUGGGCGUAAAGAGCUCGUAGGCGGCUUGUCGCGUCGACUGUGAAAUCCCGCGGCUCAACUGCGGGUCUGCAGUCGAUACGGGCAGGCUAGAGUUCGGUAGGGGAGACUGGAAUUCCUGGUGUAGCGGUGGAAUGCGCAGAUAUCAGGAGGAACACCGAUGGCGAAGGCAGGUCUCUGGGCCGUAACUGACGCUGAGGAGCGAAAGCAUGGGGAGCGAACAGG